AGCAGCCGCGGUAAUUCCAGCUCCAAUAGCGUAUAUUAAAGUUGUUGCAGUUAAAAGCUCGUAGUUGAAUUUCGGGAUCAAAGGAUCGGUCAUGCCUUGGUAUGUACUGGUUUUAUUGGUUCUCACCUUCUAAAGAACCAUAAUGUCAUUCAUUUGAUGUUAUGGGGAAUUAGGACUGUUACCUUGAAAAAUUAGAGUGUUUAAAGCAGGCUUACGCUUGAAUACAUUAGCAUGGAAUAAUGAAAUAGGACAUCAGAUUCUAUUUUGUUGGUUUCUAGGAUCGAUGUAAUGAUUAAUAGGGAUAGUUGGGGGCAUUAGUAUUCAAUUGUCAGAGGUGAAAUUCUUGGAUUUAUUGAAGACUAACUACUGCGAAAGCAUUUGCCGAGGAUGUUUUCAUUAAUCAAGAACGAAAGUUAGGGAUCGAAGACGAUCAGAUACCGUCGUAGUCUUGACCAUAAACUAUGCCGACUAGGGAUCGGAUGAUGUUAAUUUUAUAAUGUA
This 501-nucleotide unclassified non-coding RNA is filed under the name uncultured Glomus. RNAcentral describes it as "SSU rRNA". It matches the Rfam family "Eukaryotic small subunit ribosomal RNA", at positions 569 to 1078 of the family's 1831-position model. The record is from RNAcentral. Lineage: Eukaryota; Fungi; Glomeromycota; Glomeromycetes; Glomerales; Glomeraceae.